This 474-nucleotide ribosomal RNA is filed under the name uncultured organism. Its description in RNAcentral is "bacterial SSU rRNA". It matches the Rfam family "Bacterial small subunit ribosomal RNA", at positions 28 to 507 of the family's 1533-position model. The record is from RNAcentral.
GAUGAACGCUGGCGGCGUGCCUAACACAUGCAAGUCGAGCGGAGAUAAGAGGAGUACUUGUACGAAUUUUAUCUUAGCGGCGGACGGGUGAGUAACACGUGAGUAACCUGCCUUUUACUGGGGAAUAACAUCGAGAAAUCGGUGCUAAUACCGCAUAAUGUCACGAGGCUGCAUGGCCAUGUGACCAAAGGAGUAAUUCGGUAAAAGAUGGACUCGCGUCCGAUUAGGUAGUUGGUGAGGUAACGGCCCACCAAGCCUACGAUCGGUAGCCGAACUGAGAGGUUGAUCGGCCACAUUGGGACUGAGACACGGCCCAGACUCCUACGGGAGGCAGCAGUGGGGAAUAUUGGGCAAUGGGGGAAACCCUGACCCAGCAACGCCGCGUGAAGGAUGAAGGUCUUCGGAUUGUAAACUUCUUUGAUCAGGGACGAAGAAAUGACGGUACCUGAAGAACAAGCCACGGCUAACUACGUG